AUUGGAUCCAUGAUGGUAUUUUAUAAACUGCGUUAUCUAUCUGAACUUUCCUUGGAAAGGGGUUGAAGAUAAUUUUCCGUACUGAGAUCCUGU
Molecule: small nucleolar RNA, 93 nt
Organism: Hibiscus syriacus
Lineage: Eukaryota; Viridiplantae; Streptophyta; Magnoliopsida; Malvales; Malvaceae
Product: small nucleolar RNA snoR27
Exons: 1
Source: RefSeq, a predicted model, not a curated record